ACGGCCAUACCAUGCUGAACAUAUCGGUUCUCGUUAGAUCACCGAAGUCAAGCAUCAUUGGGCGCGGUCAGUACUUGGGUGGGUGACCACCUGGGAACACCGCGUGCCGUU
Molecule: ribosomal RNA, 111 nt
Filed under: Caerostris darwini
Lineage: Eukaryota; Metazoa; Arthropoda; Arachnida; Araneae; Araneidae
Source: RNAcentral